Molecule: long non-coding RNA, 312 nt
Organism: Phymastichus coffea
Lineage: Eukaryota; Metazoa; Arthropoda; Insecta; Hymenoptera; Eulophidae
Exons: 2
Source: RefSeq, a predicted model, not a curated record
CGCCCGGCUACCUUAAUAAUUUUACUUCAUUCCGAAGAUAUAGUAUUAUUACAACAAGAUGAGGUUCUACUUGGUGUUCUUACUUAUAAUUCUAAUUGCCAUCUUGGAAUUCGCGUCAGCUGAUUGUGACAACAAGCGAUGCCAACAACGAUGCAUGAGCGAAGAGCGUGGAAACGGCAAGUGUAUGAAGCAACAGGAGAGCGACUUUUUCGCGCUUUGCAAGUGCGAUAAGAAGAGAAAGAAAAGUGGAUGAGCGAGGAUCAGUCGUCAAGAAAUCUGGAUAAAUUAAAUAAAUAUUUGUAAUUAAGUGCA